This 465-nucleotide ribosomal RNA is filed under the name uncultured bacterium. RNAcentral describes it as "partial 16S ribosomal RNA". It matches the Rfam family "Bacterial small subunit ribosomal RNA", at positions 28 to 507 of the family's 1533-position model. The record is from RNAcentral.
GACGAACGCUGGCGGCGUGCUUAACACAUGCAAGUCGUACGGUAAGGCCCGUUCGUGGGUACACGAGUGGCGAACGGGGAAGUAAGACGUGAGUAACCUGCCCACAACUUUAGGAUAACGCUAACAAACUGGUACUGAUGCUAGAUAUGGGCUCCUUCUUCAUGGGGGGGGUUGGAAAGCUCCGGCGGUUAUGGAUGUACUCGCUGCCUAUCAGCUUGUUGGUGGGGCAGUGGCUUACCAAGGCGGCUACGGGUAGCCGGCCUGUGAGGGUGACCGGCGACACUGGCUCUGAGAUAAGGCACAGACUGCUAAGCGACGGAGAAGUGGGGAAGCUUGAACGAUGGGCGCCAGCCGGAUGAAGAAGCGCCGCGUGUGGGAUGACGCUGUUAGGGUUGUAAACCGAUUUCAGAAGGGACGAAGCUCUUUGUGACGGUACCUGAAGAAGAAGCAACGGCUAACUACGUG